UACGGAGGAUGCGAGCGUUAUCCGGAUUUAUUGGGUUUACAGGGAGCGUAGGCGGCUUAGUAAGUCAGAAGUGAAAGCCCGCAGCUCAACUGCGGGACUGCUUUUGAAACUGCCAAGCUAGAGUGUCGGAGAGGUAAGUGGAAUUCCUAGUGUAGCGGUGAAAUGCGUAGAUAUUAGGAGGAACACCAGUGGCGAAGGCGACUUUCUGGACAGUAACUGACGUUGAGGCACGAAAGUGUGGGGAGCAAACAGG
This 253-nucleotide ribosomal RNA is filed under the name uncultured Eubacteriales bacterium. RNAcentral's name for it is "uncultured Clostridiales bacterium partial 16S ribosomal RNA". It matches the Rfam family "Bacterial small subunit ribosomal RNA", at positions 524 to 776 of the family's 1533-position model. The record is from RNAcentral. Lineage: Bacteria; Bacillati; Bacillota; Clostridia; Eubacteriales.